ACUGUGUACAAAAGGAGCAGGUGUCAGGAAUCCGGCUAUGUGGUCUAGGAGGGCAAACUGUGAGCAGGGCACAAAUAAAGGGACAUUCCACCCUGAGGGUUACCCUGCCUUUCUAGCUCAGUACCAACACUGCUUCAAACAGGAGGUGAUGGAAGGCCCCUGCUGUGUACAUGCAAAAGGCCACAGAGGUCAGCAGAGUUGUUAAGUAGCAUUCAACAAUACUCUUCUAUAGCCACAGGACCAAUAAGCACCAUGGCAGGUGGCCACCAGGUCAGUGUUGGCUUAAUCAUGGCUCCAAGCCCAUGUUUCUUCAGACAUUUAACACCGAUUACAACUUCAAAGAGCGUCACAUGAAAUUAACAAGUUUAGGAGCAACAGAGAUAAAUCUUGGUGGAUAAAGAUGCCCAAACCAAAAUUAGAAGUACCUGGCCAUGAACUCCACCAGCCGCUGAUAGAAAAAACGACCUGCAAAGAGAGAGAGUAAUUUCAUCCAGACACUGGUGCCCAAGAGCACUUUUUGUACUUAGGUCUCCUUACUUGGAAUGAUAAAAACCAUUUUGGAAAAAAAGGAACAAGGAGUCUGAUAUACCUGGGUCUGAACACAGGCUCUGCCACUUACAGCCUGUGCAGUUUCAGGUAAGUCAUUAAUUUCCCCAGCUCAGGUUCCUAAUCCAUGUGCUGGAGACCUAACAGUACCUACCUCAUAGGGCUGUGGGGAAAAUUCAGAGAAACCAUGAGCAUGAGGACAAUGUCCGACAGAGUAAACAUCCCCUAUACCUACUGAUAUCAUCAGGACAUAAAACUAAAUUUCCGGUUGGGCUACGAAGUAGAACCCUCCUAGAAAAUAUUUUAAAAGAUUGACAAUCAUGAAAAGUUUGUUUAUAAAGCCAGACUUUAGAAAAUGGCUAUAACUUUACAGUUGGUAAGUCAGAGACAGCCUGCCAUUAUGUGUCCUUGCACACCUCGUGGGACAGAGAAGCCUCCCAUUCAGAGGACUGCUGAUCCUACCUUCGUGUUCUUGGUAAAACUUCUGGCAAUCUUCUUUUCUCCACAGAAGUUCUCUCAUUCGUACAAUAAGGAACUUGUUGCUCAGAAUCUGCUGAUGAACAGCCUGGAUAAACACCACGUCAAAGAUAAAAAUCAGUCAAAGGGAUGGGGUGCCUGGGUGGCUCAGUUGGUUAAAUGUCUGACUUCAGCUCAGGUCAUGAUCUCACGGUUCAUGAGUUCAAGUCCCACAUCAGAUGAGCUUGAGCCCCACUUCAGAUGGAGGGAGCUGUGGGAUGAGGAAUGUGAGUGGUCUCUAAAAACUGAGAGCAGUCUUCGCCUGAAGGCCAGCAAGAACAUGGGGACCUCAGUCUUAGAACCAUAGGAACCAAAUGCUGCCAACAACCUGAAUGACUUUGGAUGUGGAUUCUUCCCCAGACCCUCCAGAUAAGGAUCUGGCCUGCUGAUACCUUGACUUUGGCCUCGUGAGACCCUGAGGAAAAACUCAGCUGAACCUGCUGCACCUCUAAAUUCUAGAAUUGCGAAAUAAUAAAUGUUUUAAGCUGCUAAA
Acinonyx jubatus (cheetah) is the source of this 1555-nucleotide long non-coding RNA. RefSeq lists it as uncharacterized. The record is from RefSeq and is a predicted model, not a curated record. The transcript is spliced from 2 exons. NCBI's taxonomy places the organism in Eukaryota, Metazoa, Chordata, Mammalia, Carnivora, Felidae.